This is a long non-coding RNA of Dicentrarchus labrax (European seabass), 2239 nucleotides long. RefSeq lists it as uncharacterized. The record is from RefSeq and is a predicted model, not a curated record. Lineage: Eukaryota; Metazoa; Chordata; Actinopteri; Moronidae. The transcript is spliced from 3 exons.
AAGUCCAGUUCAGACCAAAUAUUCACAAUAUUUGCGGGGUUAGGGUUAGGGUUAGGUUUAAAAACCUUGAAAGCAUAAACACUCAUUCAAAGUACCUGGAAAAGGGAGAUGUAAAUAACCAUAACUUCUUCUCCCGUGGUUUCACUAACAAUGAGGCUCAGAGCUCCCCCCUCCCGCCACUGCGUGUAUUACAAAUCAAAUCACGCGAUCUCUCAAAAAAGGACCAACAGUUGGGUGGAUAUUUGCCUGUGACGGUGUGAACUAUGAACCUAACUAGUUCCCGCCUCCUCAGCACGAGCUGAACGAUAAAUCUAACACACCAAGAGAGGCGGGAGUUAAGGCAGAACAGCCAAUCAUCAGCCGGUCACACUCAAAGCUGGUGUCAUGUUUGAGGCAACAACAGGAGAGGGAGGGGGAGAGGGGGCAGCCGCAGCGAGCGCAGACACAGAGCGGCCAGAGAAACGGAGCGACUGUAGUAAGGCGUUUGCGCAAAACUGUGGAAAAACUGCAGAAAAAGUGUGGGUGUUUAACCCUCUCACCGGGAAAAGUGUGGGUGUUUUAACACCCACACUUUUCGUGACGCCCCUGGUUGAACCGUGUGAAGAGUCUCAGUCCGCACUUUUCAUCAGUCUGAUAGUUGCAGAAAAACAACGUUAAACUCUGUUCAGGAGCUGCAACAAGCAGUGGACCAGAAACUCCAACGUUCUCUGAGGUAAAAUCACUGUUUUUAUAAAUGCAGUCUGGCGGAGAGUGCGCAGAUGGAUAUAACGGCAUCAGAACGGGCUGUCUGACAGCAAGAGACAAAUCUUUGGUCUGAACUGAGCCAUGCAACGUGGAUCCUCGUUAUCUGAGUGACUUUCUGCAGAGAUAAUAAAGACAGCUGGACUGAAGUAUCACAUCAGUAUGAAUAUCAGUUGGCGACUGUCACCUUGCGCUUGGCGAGCUCCUCCAUCUUGUCCACGUUGGCCUGCAGUCUCUUCCUCUCCUGCUCCAGCUCUCUCACUCUCUUCUGCAGCUUCAUGAACAGACUGAUGUCCAUCGCAGCCUUCUCCACUCCCAUCUCCUGCAGGGGACAACAAAUCAAACAGUUAGCUUAGCAUCAGGCUUCAGCGGAGGACCCUGCCUUCGUUCCGCUCUUCCCUCCUCACGGACUCACCUCCACCAGCUGAAUGGAGUCCUCGGUGUCUCCGACCUCUGAGGUGGAGAUGGAUGGGUAGUUGGAGUCCGAUUCCAGGCUGCUCUGAUUGGACGGGUUCCUCCUGUGGCCGGGUUGGAACUGGAGGAUGAUGGGAGUAGAAGAGUUACUUCAUGUUGUGUUCUUUCAUGGAAAUAAUUAUUUACCAUGAUGUUGGGCUGUGUGGCAGUGAAGAGGAGCUCACCUUACUCAGGGACACCUCCUCCUUCAGGUUGUCGUAUCUCUGCUCCAGUCUGGAAAACUCUUUAAGAAGAUUCUGGUAACGCUGCCUCUCCUGAUCCAGCUCCUUCUGCAGAGACGCCUCCUUCUGAGACACACUGCUGCCGUCCUCUGAAACACACACACACACACACACACACACACACACAAACAUUAAGUCAUUUAGAAAGCAAAGCAUGUCUUAAUUCCAUAUGAUAGAGGUAUUUUAAAUUUAAAUAUAAAGACAAGCUUUGAACGGAAGAGUUAAUACCGUUCACGUGUUCUGGUUCAGGUCUUACCUUCAAAGCUCUUUGAGUGCUGAAGAAUCCUUUGGUUCAUCUCCUCUUUCUCACUUUUCAGCAGGGAGUUCUCUCUCUCCAGCUCCUCUACCCUCUGAGGAACAAAACACCAUCAGUAGCAUCCACCUCAGAGUUACAGGUAACAUCCAGACAGCAGCGAGAGAGGCUGUUUGAUUACUUACAAUAAGUUUUCUGCAAUGUUUAAAUUAGAGUUAUUCUGCAGCCAUUAAACUGUGGAAUCAACAAAUACCUCAUUAUGAUUAGUUAAAGCAAAACAUUUCAACUUUAAAUGUCCUCACCGGCUGAUUACUGAUCUAAUGACUGUUACGGUGCAGUUUGUUGUUGUUGUUGUUGUUGCUGUUGACAGUGACUGUCCGGCUGUGCUCUCACCUGUUGGAGCCCCAUUUUCUCCGUGCUGUGCUCCUCCUCCAGCCUCUUUCUCUGGGACGCCGCCUCCUGCAGCUCCUCCCUCAGCCUCUCCAGCUCCUCCUGCAGCGACGUCAGCUGACCCCCGUCACUCUGCUGACUGCGGACCUGCUCCAGCUGC